UACGGAGGGUGCGAGCGUUAUUCGGAAUUACUGGGCGUAAAGCGCGUGCAGGCGGGUAGGCAAGUCUGAUGUGAAAGCCCUGGGCUUAACCCGGGAAGUGCAUUGGAAACUGGCUGUCUUGAGUACUGGAGAGGAAGGUGGAAUUCCCGGUGUAGCGGUGAAAUGCGUAGAGAUCGGGAGGAAUACCAGUGGCGAAGGCGCCCUUCUGGACGGUUACUGACGCUGAGACGCGAAAGCGUGGGGAGCAAACAGG
Molecule: ribosomal RNA, 253 nt
Filed under: uncultured prokaryote
Description: partial 16S ribosomal RNA
Rfam family: Bacterial small subunit ribosomal RNA
Source: RNAcentral